UACGUAGGGUGCAAGCGUUAAUCGGAAUUACUGGGCGUAAAGCGCACGUAGGCGGCAUCGUAAGUGUCCGGUGAAAUCCCACGGCUCACCCGUGGAACUGCCUGGCAGACUGCGAUGCUCGAGUGUGGUAGGGGAGAGCGGAACUCCUGGUGGAGCGGUGAAAUGCGUAGAUAUCAGGAGGAACACCGGUGGCGAAGGCGGCUCUCUGGUCCACAACUGACGCUGAGGUGCGAAGCUAGGGGAGCAAACGGG
RNAcentral lists this ribosomal RNA (252 nucleotides) under uncultured bacterium. Its description in RNAcentral is "partial 16S ribosomal RNA". It matches the Rfam family "Bacterial small subunit ribosomal RNA", at positions 524 to 776 of the family's 1533-position model. The record is from RNAcentral.